This 2651-nucleotide ribosomal RNA is filed under the name Escherichia coli. RNAcentral describes it as "partial 23S ribosomal RNA". It matches the Rfam family "Bacterial large subunit ribosomal RNA". The record is from RNAcentral. Lineage: Bacteria; Pseudomonadati; Pseudomonadota; Gammaproteobacteria; Enterobacterales; Enterobacteriaceae.
CACACUAUCAUUAACUGAAUCCAUAGGUUAAUGAGGCGAACCGGGGGAACUGAAACAUCUAAGUACCCCGAGGAAAAGAAAUCAACCGAGAUUCCCCCAGUAGCGGCGAGCGAACGGGGAGCAGCCCAGAGCCUGAAUCAGUGUGUGUGUUAGUGGAAGCGUCUGGAAAGGCGCGCGAUACAGGGUGACAGCCCCGUACACAAAAAUGCACAUACUGUGAGCUCGAUGAGUAGGGCGGGACACGUGGUAUCCUGUCUGAAUAUGGGGGGACCAUCCUCCAAGGCUAAAUACUCCUGACUGACCGAUAGUGAACCAGUACCGUGAGGGAAAGGCGAAAAGAACCCCGGCGAGGGGAGUGAAAAAGAACCUGAAACCGUGUACGUACAAGCAGUGGGAGCCUCUUUAUGGGGUGACUGCGUACCUUUUGUAUAAUGGGUCAGCGACUUAUAUUCUGUAGCAAGGUUAACCGAAUAGGGGAGCCGAAGGGAAACCGAGUCUUAACUGGGCGUUAAGUUGCAGGGUAUAGACCCGAAACCCGGUGAUCUAGCCAUGGGCAGGUUGAAGGUUGGGUAACACUAACUGGAGGACCGAACCGACUAAUGUUGAAAAAUUAGCGGAUGACUUGUGGCUGGGGGUGAAAGGCCAAUCAAACCGGGAGAUAGCUGGUUCUCCCCGAAAGCUAUUUAGGUAGCGCCUCGUGAAUUCAUCUCCGGGGGUAGAGCACUGUUUCGGCAAGGGGGUCAUCCCGACUUACCAACCCGAUGCAAACUGCGAAUACCGGAGAAUGUUAUCACGGGAGACACACGGCGGGUGCUAACGUCCGUCGUGAAGAGGGAAACAACCCAGACCGCCAGCUAAGGUCCCAAAGUCAUGGUUAAGUGGGAAACGAUGUGGGAAGGCCCAGACAGCCAGGAUGUUGGCUUAGAAGCAGCCAUCAUUUAAAGAAAGCGUAAUAGCUCACUGGUCGAGUCGGCCUGCGCGGAAGAUGUAACGGGGCUAAACCAUGCACCGAAGCUGCGGCAGCGACACUAUGUGUUGUUGGGUAGGGGAGCGUUCUGUAAGCCUGUGAAGGUGUGCUGUGAGGUAUGCUGGAGGUAUCAGAAGUGCGAAUGCUGACAUAAGUAACGAUAAAGCGGGUGAAAAGCCCGCUCGCCGGAAGACCAAGGGUUCCUGUCCAACGUUAAUCGGGGCAGGGUGAGUCGACCCCUAAGGCGAGGCCGAAAGGCGUAGUCGAUGGGAAACAGGUUAAUAUUCCUGUACUUGGUGUUACUGCGAAGGGGGGACGGAGAAGGCUAUGUUGGCCGGGCGACGGUUGUCCCGGUUUAAGCGUGUAGGCUGGUUUUCCAGGCAAAUCCGGAAAAUCAAGGCUGAGGCGUGAUGACGAGGCACUACGGUGCUGAAGCAACAAAUGCCCUGCUUCCAGGAAAAGCCUCUAAGCAUCAGGUAACAUCAAAUCGUACCCCAAACCGACACAGGUGGUCAGGUAGAGAAUACCAAGGCGCUUGAGAGAACUCGGGUGAAGGAACUAGGCAAAAUGGUGCCGUAACUUCGGGAGAAGGCACGCUGAUAUGUAGGUGAAGUCCCUUGCGGAUGGAGCUGAAAUCAGUCGAAGAUACCAGCUGGCUGCAACUGUUUAUUAAAAACACAGCACUGUGCAAACACGAAAGUGGACGUAUACGGUGUGACGCCUGCCCGGUGCCGGAAGGUUAAUUGAUGGGGUUAGCGGUAACGCGAAGCUCUUGAUCGAAGCCCCGGUAAACGGCGGCCGUAACUAUAACGGUCCUAAGGUAGCGAAAUUCCUUGUCGGGUAAGUUCCGACCUGCACGAAUGGCGUAAUGAUGGCCAGGCUGUCUCCACCCGAGACUCAGUGAAAUUGAACUCGCUGUGAAGAUGCAGUGUACCCGCGGCAAGACGGAAAGACCCCGUGAACCUUUACUAUAGCUUGACACUGAACAUUGAGCCUUGAUGUGUAGGAUAGGUGGGAGGCUUUGAAGUGUGGACGCCAGUCUGCAUGGAGCCGACCUUGAAAUACCACCCUUUAAUGUUUGAUGUUCUAACGUUGGCCCCUGAUCGGGGUUGCGGACAGUGUCUGGUGGGUAGUUUGACUGGGGCGGUCUCCUCCUAAAGAGUAACGGAGGAGCACGAAGGUUGGCUAAUCCUGGUCGGACAUCAGGAGGUUAGUGCAAUGGCAUAAGCCAGCUUGACUGCGAGCGUGACGGCGCGAGCAGGUGCGAAAGCAGGUCAUAGUGAUCCGGUGGUUCUGAAUGGAAGGGCCAUCGCUCAACGGAUAAAAGGUACUCCGGGGAUAACAGGCUGAUACCGCCCAAGAGUUCAUAUCGACGGCGGUGUUUGGCACCUCGAUGUCGGCUCAUCACAUCCUGGGGCUGAAGUAGGUCCCAAGGGUAUGGCUGUUCGCCAUUUAAAGUGGUACGCGAGCUGGGUUUAGAACGUCGUGAGACAGUUCGGUCCCUAUCUGCCGUGGGCGCUGGAGAACUGAGGGGGGCUGCUCCUAGUACGAGAGGACCGGAGUGGACGCAUCACUGGUGUUCGGGUUGUCAUGCCAAUGGCACUGCCCGGUAGCUAAAUGCGGAAGAGAUAAGUGCUGAAAGCAUCUAAGCACGAAACUUGCCCCGAGAUGAGUUCUCCCUGAC